Molecule: ribosomal RNA, 484 nt
Filed under: uncultured bacterium
Lineage: Bacteria
Description: partial 16S ribosomal RNA
Rfam family: Bacterial small subunit ribosomal RNA
Source: RNAcentral
AUUGAACGCUGGCGGCAGGCCUAACACAUGCCAGUCGCGCGGAUGAAGGGAGCUUGCUCCUGGAUUCAGCGGCGGACGGGUGAGUAAUGCCUAGGAAUCUGCCUGGUAGUGGGGGAUAACGUCCGGAAACGGGCGCUAAUACCGCAUACGUCCUGAGGGAGAAAGUGGGGGAUCUUCGGACCUCACGCUAUCAGAUGAGCCUAGGUCGGAUUAGCUAGUUGGUGGGGUAAAGGCCUACCAAGGCGACGAUCCGUAACUGGUCUGAGAGGAUGAUCAGUCACACUGGAACUGAGACACGGUCCAGACUCCUACGGGAGGCAGCAGUGGGGAAUAUUGGACAAUGGGCGAAAGCCUGAUCCAGCCAUGCCGCGUGUGUGAAGAAGGUCUUCGGAUUGUAAAGCACUUUAAGUUGGGAGGAAGGGCAGUAAGUUAAUACCUUGCUGUUUUGACGUUACCAACAGAAUAAGCACCGGCUAACUUCGUG